Hydra vulgaris (swiftwater hydra) is the source of this 114-nucleotide non-coding RNA. The record is from RefSeq and is a predicted model, not a curated record. NCBI's taxonomy places the organism in Eukaryota, Metazoa, Cnidaria, Hydrozoa, Anthoathecata, Hydridae.
UCAUAAAGUUUUCACGAAAAUAAAAAGACUUGAUACUUUUUACGAAGGUUUAUGCAAAGGCGAUGACGUUAUUCCCCAAUACUUAGACAAGAAAAUAAAUUGCUGUUUUAAUUA